AUACGUAGGGGGCGAGCGUUGUCCGGAAUGAUUGGGCGUAUAGGGCGCGUAGGCGGCCGAGUAAGUCUGGAGUGAAAGUCCUGUUUUCAAGAUGGGAAUUGCUUUGGAUACUGCUCAGCUUGAGUGCAGGAGAGGUUAUCGGAAUUCCUGGUGUAGCGGUGAAAUGCGCAGAUAUCAGGAGGAACACCGGUGGCGAAGGCGGUUCUCUGGGCAGUAACGAACGCUGAGGAGCAAAAGCAUGGGUAGCGAACAGGAGUAGAUACCCUGGUAGUCCACGCCGUAAACGGUGGGCGCUAGGUGUAGGGGUCUUCCACGACUUCUGUGCCGUAGCUAACGCAUUAAGCGCCCCGCCUGGGGAGUACGGCCGCAAGGCUAAAACUCAAAGGAAUUGACGGGG
RNAcentral lists this ribosomal RNA (397 nucleotides) under uncultured bacterium. RNAcentral describes it as "partial 16S ribosomal RNA". It matches the Rfam family "Bacterial small subunit ribosomal RNA", at positions 523 to 918 of the family's 1533-position model. The record is from RNAcentral.